This 250-nucleotide long non-coding RNA is filed under the name Cricetulus griseus (Chinese hamster). RNAcentral's name for it is "lncRNA (ENSCGRG00000025004.1)". Lineage: Eukaryota; Metazoa; Chordata; Mammalia; Rodentia; Cricetidae. The record is from RNAcentral.
UUUUAGAUGCUAAUUUUAUGGCUUUUUUUUUUCAGAAGACAAUGAGUUGAGUAGUAGCCAUCUAAACAAACACAUCAGUGACUGUUCAAGCAAUGUCUAGGACACCCAAACCAGUGGCUAUGGAUGUGGCAUUGUGCAAUGUAGUUGAGGUUAACAUAGAAGACACCUGCUUCACUAGCAACAGCUCUGCCAUCCCCAGGCCUUAGGGUUUGACUGAGGACUCUUGAUGUCCUGGCAUUGCAUACUCCAG